This 253-nucleotide ribosomal RNA is filed under the name uncultured bacterium. Its description in RNAcentral is "partial 16S ribosomal RNA". It matches the Rfam family "Bacterial small subunit ribosomal RNA", at positions 524 to 776 of the family's 1533-position model. The record is from RNAcentral.
UACGUAGGGGGCAAGCGUUGUCCGGAUUUAUUGGGCGUAAAGAGCGUGUAGGCGGCCAGAUAGGUCCGUUGUGAAAACUCGAGGCUCAACCUCGAGACGCCGAUGGAAACCCUUUGGCUAGAGUCCGGAAGAGGAGAGUGGAAUUCCUGGUGUAGCGGUGAAAUGCGCAGAUAUCAGGAAGAACACCAAUGGCGAAGGCAGCUCUCUGGGACGGUACUGACGCUGAGACGCGAAAGCGUGGGGAGCGAACAGG